CUUGCUUCCUUGAGACCGGCGCACGGGUGCGUAACGCGUAUGCAAUCUACCUUUUGCAGAGGGAUAGCCCAGAGAAAUUUGGAUUAAUACCUCAUAGUAUGCAGAGUUGGCAUCAACACUGCAUUAAAGUCACAACGGCAAAAGAUGAGCAUGCGUCCCAUUAGCUAGUUGGUAAGGUAACGGCUUACCAAGGCUACGAUGGGUAGGGGUCCUGAGAGGGAGAUCCCCCACACUGGUACUGAGACACGGACCAGACUCCUACGGGAGGCAGCAGUGAGGAAUAUUGGACAAUGGGCGCAAGCCUGAUCCAGCCAUGCCGCGUGCAGGAUGACGGUCCUAUGGAUUGUAAACUGCUUUUAUACGAGAAGAAACACUCCUUCGUGAAGGAGCUUGACGGUAUCGUAAGAAUAAGGAUCGGCUAACUCCGUGCCAGCAGCCGCGGUAAUACGGAGGAUCCAAGCGUUAUCCGGAAUCAUUGGGUUUAAAGGGUCCGUAGGCGGUUUAAUAAGUCAGUGGUGAAAGCCCAUCGCUCAACGGUGGAACGGCCAUUGAUACUGUUAGACUUGAAUUAUUAGGAAGUAACUAGAAUAUGUAGUGUAGCGGUGAAAUGCUUAGAUAUUACAUGGAAUA
Molecule: ribosomal RNA, 630 nt
Filed under: uncultured bacterium
Lineage: Bacteria
Description: bacterial SSU rRNA
Rfam family: Bacterial small subunit ribosomal RNA
Source: RNAcentral